Rhinopithecus roxellana (golden snub-nosed monkey) is the source of this 199-nucleotide long non-coding RNA. RefSeq lists it as uncharacterized. NCBI's taxonomy places the organism in Eukaryota, Metazoa, Chordata, Mammalia, Primates, Cercopithecidae. The transcript is spliced from 3 exons. The record is from RefSeq and is a predicted model, not a curated record.
CCCUGACUGAGCCCCACCCUAGUUCUUCAGGCCAAGAAGACUGAGAGAAAGAAAAAACCUGGGGAUUUCACUUUGUCCUCCAGAUGCUUCUCGUCUGGGAACUUAUGGGAGUUCUCAAGGCCAUGUAUCCUGUUUCUUUGAAUAGAAUUGCAGCCUGACUAAGGUAAGAAUUAGUUUCCUUUUUAUCUUUUAUAUUCUU